UUUUAAUUGUUGCUGCUUUUGUACAUUAGCAAAAAAAAAUACAAGCAAGUUAUGAUGAAGAAGUCUGGUUAUGCUAUUUUUCUAAGAAGCUGGGAUAAAUUCAUAUUUUGUUCCUCUUUUUUUUUUUUUUUAAAUAUGUUUAUGUCAGAUUGGCAGAUUUACCAUAUAAACACAUAAUGGCAAAUUAUGGCAAACUUUGCAAAUGAACAUGUAUUUAUCGAAUUUCCUUGUUAUCUUUUUUUAUUGCUAGCAACACAUGAAGACAUCAGUCCCCUCUCGGCAAUACAUAUUAUCGAUUGACACUACUGUAUGCUGAGACUGAACAACAGAGUUCUCACUUGGACUUUUUGCUUGCUCCUCAAAGACUUUUAAAAAAUUAAAUAAUAACUAUUAUAUUUCUAACUGUUUUUAAUCUAAUUAUUAGUCACAAGUUGCGCUUUUGUUAUAUAUAUGACUUCUAUUCAAAUUGUGUAUACCUCUUUGAACUGCAACGUACUGUGGCUAAUU
Molecule: long non-coding RNA, 507 nt
Filed under: Schizosaccharomyces pombe (fission yeast)
Lineage: Eukaryota; Fungi; Ascomycota; Schizosaccharomycetes; Schizosaccharomycetales; Schizosaccharomycetaceae
Source: RNAcentral